This is a microRNA precursor of Oreochromis aureus, 57 nucleotides long. The record is from Ensembl. Lineage: Eukaryota; Metazoa; Chordata; Actinopteri; Cichliformes; Cichlidae.
UGGACGAGGAAGUGGGCUCAGUGAUUCUGAUCUACUCAGUGUGCUUCCACCUCUACC